CCUACGGGAGGCAGCAGUGAGGAAUAUUGGUCAAUGGCCGAGAGGCUGAACCAGCCAAGUCGCGUGAGGGAAGACGGCCCUACGGGUUGUAAACCUCUUUUGUCGGGGAGCAAAGCGAUUCACGUGUGACCCCUUUAGAGUACCCGAAGAAAAAGCCUUGGCUAACUCCGGUCCAGCAGCCGCGGUAAUACGGAGGAUGCGGACGUUUUCCGGAUUUAUUUGGUUUAAAGGGUGCGCAGGCGGAGGUGCAAGUCAGUGGUCAAAUUGCGGGGCUCAACCCCGUACUGCCGUUGAAACUGGAGCCCUUGAGUGCGCGAGAAGUAUGCGGAAUGCGUGGUGUAGCGGUGAAAUGCAUAGAUAGCACGCAGAACUCCGAUUGCGAAGGCAGCAUACCGGCGCGCAACUGACGCUCAUGCACGAAAGCGUGGGUAUCGAACAGGAUUAGAUACCCUAGUAGUC
This 459-nucleotide ribosomal RNA is filed under the name uncultured bacterium. RNAcentral's name for it is "partial 16S ribosomal RNA". It matches the Rfam family "Bacterial small subunit ribosomal RNA", at positions 338 to 795 of the family's 1533-position model. The record is from RNAcentral.